GACACGGCCCAGACUCCUACGGGAGGCAGCAGUGGGGAAUAUUGGACAAUGGGCGCAAGCCUGAUCCAGCAAUGCCGCGUGAGUGAUGAAGGCCUUCGGGUUGUAAAGCUCUUUCGCCUGCGAGGAUGAUGACGGUAGCAGGAGAAGAAGCCCCGGCUAACUUCGUGCCAGCAGCCGCGGUAAUACGAAGGGGGCGAGCGUUGUUCGGAUUUACUGGGCGUAAAGGGCGCGUAGGCGGCGAUGUAAGUCAGGCGUGAAAGCCCCGGGCUCAACCUGGGAAUUGCGCUUGGGACUACAUUGCUGGAGUUCGGGAGAGGAGCGUGGAAUUCCCAGUGUAGAGGUGAAAUUCGUAGAUAUUGGGAAGAACACCGGUGGCGAAGGCGGCGCUCUGGACCGAUACUGACGCUGAGGCGCGAAAGCGUGGGGAGCAAACAGGAUUAGAUACCCUGGUAGUCCACGCUGUAAACGAUGUGUGCUAGACGUUGGGGAGCCUAGCUCUUCGGUGUCGCCGCUAACGCUGUAAGCACACCGCCUGGGGAGUACGGCCGCAAGGUUA
Molecule: ribosomal RNA, 556 nt
Filed under: uncultured bacterium
Lineage: Bacteria
Description: bacterial SSU rRNA
Rfam family: Bacterial small subunit ribosomal RNA
Source: RNAcentral